Molecule: transfer RNA, 73 nt
Filed under: Diutina rugosa
Lineage: Eukaryota; Fungi; Ascomycota; Pichiomycetes; Serinales; Debaryomycetaceae
Also listed under: 1 other name
Description: Candida rugosa tRNA
Rfam family: tRNA
About the family: Transfer RNA (tRNA) molecules are approximately 80 nucleotides in length. Their secondary structure includes four short double-helical elements and three loops (D, anti-codon, and T loops).
Source: Rfam by way of RNAcentral
GCCCGCGUGGCCCAAUGGUUAAGGCGCUCGACUUCUAAUCGAGCGAUUGUGGGUUCGAAUCCCGCCGUGGGUU